GGUUGGUCUGAGUGCAGUGGUGUUUACACUAAUUGAUCACAACCAGUUACAGAUUCCUUUGUUCCUUCUCCACUCCCACUGCUUCACUUGACCAGAAAA
This 99-nucleotide Y RNA is filed under the name Propithecus coquereli (Coquerel's sifaka). RNAcentral describes it as "Y RNA (ENSPCOG00000008077.1)". It matches the Rfam family "Y RNA". Rfam says of the family: Y RNAs are components of the Ro ribonucleoprotein particle (Ro RNP), in association with Ro60 and La proteins. Lineage: Eukaryota; Metazoa; Chordata; Mammalia; Primates; Indriidae. The record is from Rfam by way of RNAcentral.